This is a small nuclear RNA of Apodemus sylvaticus (European woodmouse), 106 nucleotides long. The record is from RefSeq and is a predicted model, not a curated record. Lineage: Eukaryota; Metazoa; Chordata; Mammalia; Rodentia; Muridae.
GUUCUUGCUUCAAUAGCACAUAUACUAAAAUCAGAAUGAUACAGACAAGAAAAGUAUGCCCCAUGCAAAAGGAGAACUUAAGAUUCAUGAGGUGCUCUACAUUCAA